This 750-nucleotide ribosomal RNA is filed under the name uncultured Eubacteriales bacterium. RNAcentral's name for it is "bacterial SSU rRNA". It matches the Rfam family "Bacterial small subunit ribosomal RNA", at positions 28 to 776 of the family's 1533-position model. Lineage: Bacteria; Bacillati; Bacillota; Clostridia; Eubacteriales. The record is from RNAcentral.
GAUGAACGCUGGCGGCGUGCCUAACACAUGCAAGUCGAACGGAGAUUAUUCGCUGCGGAGCCUUCGGGCGAAGCUUGAAUGAUCUUAGUGGCGGACGGGUGAGUAACGCGUGGGCAACCUGCCUUGCACAGGGGGAUAGCAGUUGGAAACGACUGGUAAUACCGCAUAUCUUAGAGAGACCGCAUGAUCUUUUUAAGAAAACGUUAGUGGUGCAAGAUGGGCCCGCGUCCGAUUAGAUAGUUGGUGGGGUAACGGCCUACCAAGUCGACGAUCGGUAGCCGACCUAAGAGGGCGGACGGCCACAUUGGGACUGAGACACGGCCCAGACUCCUACGGGAGGCAGCAGUGGGGAAUAUUGCACAAUGGAGGGAACUCUGAUGCAGCGACGCCGCGUGAGUGAAGAAGUAUUUCGGUAUGUAAAGCUCUAUCAGUAGGGAAGAUAAUGACGGUACCUACAUAAGAAGCCCCGGCUAAAUACGUGCCAGCAGCCGCGGUAAUACGUAUGGGGCAAGCGUUAUCCGGAUUUACUGGGUGUAAAGGGAGCGUAGGCGGCAGUACAAGUCGGGAGUGAAAACUCGGGGCUCAACCCCGAGACUGCUCUCGAAACUGUACAGCUAGAGUGCAGGAAGGGCAGGCGGAAUUCCUGGUGUAGCGGUGAAAUGCGUAGAUAUCAGGAGGAACACCGGUGGCGAAGGCGGCCUGCUGGACUGUAACUGACGCUGAGGCUCGAAAGCGUGGGGAGCGAACAGG